UAAAAUAGACAAAGUGAGAGUU
Molecule: microRNA, 22 nt
Filed under: Monodelphis domestica (gray short-tailed opossum)
Lineage: Eukaryota; Metazoa; Chordata; Mammalia; Didelphimorphia; Didelphidae
Description: mdo-miR-12331-3p
Source: miRBase by way of RNAcentral